GUAGGUGGCAAGCGUUGUCCGGAAUUAUUGGGCGUAAAGCGCGCGCAGGUGGUUCUUUAAGUCUGAUGUGAAAGCCCCCGGCUCAACCGGGGAGGGUCAUUGGAAACUGGGGAACUUGAGUGCAGGAGAGGAAAGUGGAAUUCCACGUGUAGCGGUGAAAUGCGUAGAUAUGUGGAGGAACACCAGUGGCGAAGGCGACUUUCUGGCCUGUAACUGACACUGAGGCGCGAAAGCGUGGGGAGCAAACAGGGAUUAGAUACCCUGGUAGUCCACGCCGUAAACGAUGAGUGCUAAGUGUUGGGGGGUUUCCGCCCCCUCAGUGCUGCAGCUAACGCAUUAAGCACUCCGCCUGGGAGUACGGUCGCAAGACUG
This 372-nucleotide ribosomal RNA is filed under the name uncultured organism. Its description in RNAcentral is "partial 16S ribosomal RNA". It matches the Rfam family "Bacterial small subunit ribosomal RNA", at positions 527 to 896 of the family's 1533-position model. The record is from RNAcentral.